This 229-nucleotide ribosomal RNA is filed under the name uncultured bacterium. Its description in RNAcentral is "partial 16S ribosomal RNA". It matches the Rfam family "Bacterial small subunit ribosomal RNA", at positions 568 to 796 of the family's 1533-position model. The record is from RNAcentral.
UGCGUAGGCGGCCUGGUAAGUCAGAUGUGAAAGCCCGGGGCUUAACCCCGGAAGUGCAUUUGAUACUGUCAGGCUUGAGUAUGGGAGAGGGAAGUGGAAUUCCUGGUGUAGAGGUGAAAUUCGUAGAUAUCAGGAUGAACACCGGUGGCGAAGGCGACUUCCUGGACCAAUACUGACGCUGAGGUGCGAAGGCGUGGGUAGCAAACAGGAUUAGAUACCCUGGUAGUCC